Leopardus geoffroyi (Geoffroy's cat) is the source of this 1758-nucleotide long non-coding RNA. RefSeq lists it as uncharacterized. The record is from RefSeq and is a predicted model, not a curated record. Lineage: Eukaryota; Metazoa; Chordata; Mammalia; Carnivora; Felidae. The transcript has 3 exons.
CUGCCCCUUGGGGAGAGAGACACAAUGAGCCACAGGCCUGGCUGCCCCAGGUAGCUGAAAAAUCGGAGGAUGGAGCUCAGAAGAAUUUUAUUAAGGGACACAACAACAGCUAUCUGUACAGUGAUGCUUCCAGAACCAAGCCUUCAGGACACUGAACUCCUCUGUAAGGAAGUCCUUGAGUUUUCUCAAUCUCUAGAAGAAGAAUCUCCUUCCUGAAGGUUCAGGUCAGCAAUUCACAGGAUGCAACUCCUGCAGGACCUGGUCCUGUUGAAGAUACAUCACAUCCCAAGGGCAAAGUGAAACAACACUGCCCGACUCAGCCUCUUUCUCCAAGUGGGAAUGCUCUUUCAGAAACUUCUCAUGCCCAGCAUCUUGGAACCAUCUCCUACAUUGAAGAGGCUCUGGUUGAUUUUAUUCAUGAAUGCCUCAAGUCCUAACGUUGAGACUGUAAACUCAGAUGGAUAAGGCCCAGUGAGGAACAUCCUUGGCCAUGACGAAGACCCCUGCUGCCCCCCGCCUGCCACUGCUCCGCACUGACAGCCAGUCCAGGUAGGUCUCUCACCUGGGUGCCAACCCAUCCCAUCGUGAAGCCACAGCCAGCUGUUGUGACAGUGGUGGUGACAGUGGGGGGUGGUGAGGGAGAUUCAGCUCUCCAGGAAAGCUGCGGAGAAAUGGCCUCCAACUCGGCGUGCCCUGCUGCAAAAUUAUGUUGGAGGACCUAUAAAAGGUGAUUUAUUUUGAGAGAGUUCUUUGUGCUCUGUAGCAGAGGAGAUUUUUCCCCUUUAUCGAACGAUUUCAGGAAGUCUGGAAAACAAAACUAUGUACUACACCACGCUGGAGACACAGUGGGUACAGUUGCCAUUUUCAGCAUAGAUUGAAGUGAGAUAAUGGCAGCAUGAAAUUGCAAUAAAUGGGCACAGUCAUCUUGCUGAAGCCAGCACAAGAGCACGCAUGGGCCGCUUUCUUCUUCAGAGGGGGCGUUGUGUGCCACUGCCCCGUUCUCUGCCUUGUGGCGAGGGCACAGAGGCCGAGAUCUGUGGCGGUGCUCUUUUCACAGGUGCCAUCAAGGGCAAUGAUGUUCCCCCCUCCCUGAGCUUCAAGCCAGGUCCCCACAUCUGAGUACCACACCUUGGAUGGCAAAGGCUAUUCUGAGAACAGACCCUGAAGACGUUCUGGAGGCCACAGCCUCUAUCCCCACUGCCUCUCCAUCUCCUGCCUCCUUAGCUGCACAACUGAGGUAACCAAAUCAUCUCAAAAUGUGAAAUAUCCCGGAGUCCGGGGUCUCUGAAGCCCGGCUGUAUUUCUCUCCUUGUGGACCUUACAGACUUUCCCUAAUAGCCCUUCCAAAGAGGGAGAUCCCAUGCCAUGGGGCAAGACCUGGGCCUUUUCCAUUCAGCUUUUCAGUGGGUAGAAGUUUGAACUGAAAUCUGCUGGAACCAUGCAGUGGCUGUCAGUGAAGAAUACCCAGUGUGGGGGUCAGUCAACUGGGCCCCGCACACCUCACACCGAGCACGUGGGAAGCCGGGCCCUCUGGCUGUCUCUCAUUCAGCCAAUACCACGCACCUACUCAUUGCUGGGGCCUAUACAAGGGUCUAGGGAUUCAGAGAUGAAUGGGAUCCACUCCCUGUUCUCAGGGAGCUCAUGGUCUAUUCAGGAAAAUGAAUACGAAAUGACAAAAUCGCAGGCACCUGGGUGGUUCACUCAGUUAAGUGUCUGACUUCGGCUCAGGUCAUGAUGUCAUGAUGUCAUGUUCAUGAG